This 562-nucleotide ribosomal RNA is filed under the name Stromboscerini sp. CNCCOLVG00004339. RNAcentral's name for it is "eukaryotic LSU rRNA". It matches the Rfam family "Eukaryotic large subunit ribosomal RNA", at positions 284 to 645 of the family's 3401-position model. The record is from RNAcentral. RNAcentral also lists the same sequence under 1 other name. Lineage: Eukaryota; Metazoa; Arthropoda; Insecta; Coleoptera; Curculionidae.
AGCCCUAAGCGGGUGGUAAACUCCAUCUAAGGCUAAAUAUGACCACGAGACCGAUAGCGAACAAGUACCGUGAGGGAAAGUUGAAAAGCACUUUGAAGAGAGAGUUCAAGAGUACGUGAAACCGUUUAGGGGUAAACCUGAGAAACCCGAAAGGUCGAAGGGAGAAAUUCAUUCGCGUUUCGCCGUAAGCGUGAGACGGUCGAGUGACGGAGUGCGUUAACGCGCGUCUCCGCACCUUCCGUUUUACGAUCCGGCGGCGAACGCGUGCACUUUUCUCCUGGUAGGACGUCGCGAUCCGUUGAACGUCGGUCUACGGCUCGCGGUGGAGACCGGACGUACGGUUUACCGUCACGUUCGGACCCGCGUGUCCCGGCCGGCUCGCUCGACGGUAUGCAAACGGUUCGAGGCCGCUCUCUCUCGGAGCGUUCGGCUCGCUGCAAGCGCGCCAAUUGCGUUGGCGAUCGGACCCGGUGCCGAUUCCGACCUUUGGCGACUGUUGGCCGCGAAGUUCUCGAACAGACCUUAGACCGAUCUGCGACGCUAUAGCUUUGGGUACUUUCAG